CCUACGGGAGGCUGCAGUGGGGAAUAUUGGGCAAUGGACGCAAGUCUGACCCAGCAAUGCCGCGUGAAGGAAGAAGGCUUUCGGAUUGUAAAGUUCUUUUCUUAGGGACGAAAAAACUGACGGUACCCAAGGAAUAAGCCUCGGCUAACUACGUGCCAGCAGCCGCGGUAAUACGUAGGCGGCAAGCGUUCUCCGGAUUUACUGGGUGUAAAGGGUGGGUAGGCGGGAAGGCAAGUAAGAGGUGAAAACCCUGGGCUUAACUUGGGUGCUGCCUCUGAAACUGUUGUACUUGAGUGCAGUAGAGGAAGGUGGAAUGCCUAGUGUAGCGGUGAAAUGCGUAGAGAUUAGGAGGAACACCAGUGGCGAAGGCGGCUUACUGGACUGCAACUGACGCUGAGGCACGAAAGCGUGGGGAGCAAACAGGAUUAGAUACCCGAGUAGUC
RNAcentral lists this ribosomal RNA (443 nucleotides) under uncultured bacterium. RNAcentral's name for it is "partial 16S ribosomal RNA". It matches the Rfam family "Bacterial small subunit ribosomal RNA", at positions 338 to 795 of the family's 1533-position model. The record is from RNAcentral.